Achroia grisella is the source of this 382-nucleotide long non-coding RNA. RefSeq lists it as uncharacterized. NCBI's taxonomy places the organism in Eukaryota, Metazoa, Arthropoda, Insecta, Lepidoptera, Pyralidae. The transcript is spliced from 2 exons. The record is from RefSeq and is a predicted model, not a curated record.
UACAUAUAGAUAAGUCUGGUGAGCUGAGACCUUCAGUGGGUCUUGUGAUGCGUGUUGGCAUACCAGUAUUUAAAAUACAUAAGUUAUGGGAGUCAAUUAACUCCAAUAAUUGGUCACCAUAACUAUUGGAUGAAGAGGAACCCCAAGUCUGAUGAAAGCGACCAAAUGUGACGGGAUGCAAUGUUGUGUUGCUGUUAUCAUCUGAGAAUUCCCUCUGGACAUGAAUUAUAUAUGGUGCUGCAUCUGAUGGCUGAUACCUAGUGCGAGCAAUAGGUGUUCGAGUGAUUUCAGUGUUUUGUGUAAUAUUAUUGUUAAGAGCAGUAGAAACUGCAUUUUGAGAUUUGGAAUUGACUUCAGAAUCUUUAUUAUUAUAUUGAUCUAU